UACAGAGGUCUCAAGCGUUGUUCGGAUUCAUUGGGCGUAAAGGGUGCGUAGGCGGCGCGGUAAGUCGGGUGUGAAAUCUCGGAGCUUAACUCCGAAACUGCAUUCGAUACUCCCGUGCUUGAGGACUGGAGAGGAGACUGGAAUUUACGGUGUAGCGGUGAAAUGCGUAGAUAUCGUAAGGAAGACCAGUGGCGAAGGCGGGUCUCUGGACAGUUCCUGACGCUGAGGCACGAAGGUCAGGGGAGCAAACGGG
Molecule: ribosomal RNA, 253 nt
Filed under: uncultured bacterium
Lineage: Bacteria
Description: partial 16S ribosomal RNA
Rfam family: Bacterial small subunit ribosomal RNA
Source: RNAcentral